AGAAGUCGUUGAGCUAACCCCUAUUUAUAGAGGAGGCAGGCGCCUACGGUGUGGUUGGUAAUCGGGGUGAAGUCGUAACAAGGUAGCCGUAGGUGAACCUGCAGAAGGAUCA
RNAcentral lists this ribosomal RNA (112 nucleotides) under uncultured eukaryote. Its description in RNAcentral is "partial small subunit ribosomal RNA". The record is from RNAcentral.